This is a non-coding RNA of Schizosaccharomyces pombe (fission yeast), 311 nucleotides long. NCBI's taxonomy places the organism in Eukaryota, Fungi, Ascomycota, Schizosaccharomycetes, Schizosaccharomycetales, Schizosaccharomycetaceae. The record is from the annotation of a GenBank genome assembly.
UCGGAUGAUAAACCAACACAUUCGUAAUGAAACCAUUCUAAACAAUUGUGACAUUGCACUGUACCAUCUGAAAUAGCAAACGGUUGUCGACACAAGCAAAUAACAGAUGCAUUUUGAUCCGAAACGAGAUGUGAAGAAUUGAGGCCACCGAGGGUAGAAGUAGAAUCCACAGAUAACUCUUUAAUUUCGGGGGAAAUGUUUGUAAAGAGCUCAGCAGGAUUACUAGUCGGAAGUAAAUCGUGAGCUGAAGGCAUGGGAUUAGGACUGAUGGCAGCCUGAGCCAAACUUUUCAUAGCCCAUGGAGAUAAAGU